AGGAGGUUGGCUUAGAAGCAGCCAUCCUUUAAAGAAAGCGUAAUAGCUCACUGGUCUAGUGAUUUUGCGCGGAAAAUAUAACGGGGCUAAAGUAAGUACCGAAGCUGUAGACUUGCGCACAACUUAGAUUAUUUAAGUUUAGAAUAUGAGAAACUAAGUUAUAUGUUUAGUUAUAUUUUUACUGAUUUUUAUAGAGUAAAGAUAGAAAUAAAACUUAGUAAAAUCAGUAAAAAUAUUCUUAGACUAAAGUUAAGUAGUUUAAGUUGUGUGCAAGUGGUAGGAGAGCGUUCUAUUUGCGUCGAAGGUAUACCGGUAAGGAGUGCUGGAGCGAAUAGAAGUGAGCAUGCAGGCAUGAGUAGCGAUAAUUAAUGUGAGAAUCAUUAAC
RNAcentral lists this ribosomal RNA (385 nucleotides) under Campylobacter coli. Its description in RNAcentral is "partial 23S ribosomal RNA". It matches the Rfam family "Bacterial large subunit ribosomal RNA", at positions 1095 to 1335 of the family's 2925-position model. Lineage: Bacteria; Pseudomonadati; Campylobacterota; Epsilonproteobacteria; Campylobacterales; Campylobacteraceae. The record is from RNAcentral.